Long non-coding RNA from Armigeres subalbatus, 351 nucleotides. RefSeq lists it as uncharacterized. NCBI's taxonomy places the organism in Eukaryota, Metazoa, Arthropoda, Insecta, Diptera, Culicidae. The record is from RefSeq and is a predicted model, not a curated record. The transcript is spliced from 3 exons.
CUUCUCGGUAUUUCACAUCGGUCCGACGGUCUUAUUUCUAAGCAUGUUGCUGACAAGAUGAUGCCCGACGACGACAAGGGUAGUGCCCCUGAAGAAUGUUAUUUCGCCCAAGCUGGCCCUGUUUGUCGGCUUGACGGUGGAAAUCAGUCCCAUCGUGGGUGCCCAGUGCUAGGAGAUCGCUGUACGCCGGAUGAUCGAAUCGCUUGAUGUAGAAUAGUUGGUAACGGCCCGGCUUCGUCUAUCGCUAUCUCCUAAAUGUAUGCAAUGAUGCUGAAACGGCCGGCGCCUGCAACGGUUGCUGAAAACGGAUUCCAGAGAGCUACAAAAACACAAACAUUUGCAAGCUUCCCC